This 1249-nucleotide long non-coding RNA is filed under the name Gallus gallus (chicken). RNAcentral describes it as "lncRNA (ENSGALG00010000667.1)". Lineage: Eukaryota; Metazoa; Chordata; Aves; Galliformes; Phasianidae. The record is from RNAcentral.
GGCGGAAGGGGCGGGGCCGGCGGCGGAAGUGGAGGGGGGGAAACGGAAGCGGAGGGCCGAGGGGCGGAAGUGGAGGGUGAGGGGCGGAAGUGGAGGGCGAGAGCCGGAAGUGGAGGGAGAGGGGCGGAAGUGGAGGGCUGUGGGCGCCGCCAUCUUGGGAGGAGAGGGGGGAGGGAGGCGCGAGGGGUGAUGGGAUAUUGGGGACAUUGGGGGUAAUGGGGGCAAAGGGGGUUAUGGGGAUAAUGGGGUUAUGGGGAUAAUGAGGGUGAUGGGGGGCAUUGGGGGCAAUGGGGACAAUGGGACUAAGGGGGACAUUGGGGUCAAUGGAGGUAAUGGGGGUAAUGGGAACAUUGGGGGCCAUUGGGGUCAGUGGGGGCAAUGGGGGUAAUGGGGGCAAUGGGGAGAUUGGAGGUAAUGGGGGCAUUGGGGACAUUGGGGAUAAUGGGGUAAUUAUAGGGACAUGGGGUCAAUGGGGACAUGGGGGUCAUUGGGGUCAAUGGGGACAUUGGGGCCAUUAUGGGGCCAUUAUAGGGACAUGGGGGGCAAUGGGGUGAAUGGGGACAUUAUAGGGACAUGGGGGGCAAUGGGGACGUUAUGGGGACAUGGGGGGCAAUGGAGACAUGGGGGACGUUGGGGUCAUUGGGGUCAAUGGGGACAUUGGGGAACAUUGGGGUCAAUGGGGACAUUAUAGGGACACAUGGGGCAAUGGGGACAUUGGGGUCAUUUGGGUCAAUGGGACAUUAUGGGGAGAUGGGGGAUAUUGGGGUCAAUGGGGACAUUAUAGGGACAAUGGAGGUAAUGGGGACAUUGGGGGACGUUGGGGUCUCUAUAGGGACAAUGGGGGUAAUGGGGACAUGGGGGGCCAUUGGGGUCAAUGGGGGCAAUGGGGCCAUUGGGGCCAUUGGGGGCCAUUGGGGUCUCUAUGAGGACAAUGGGGACAUUGGGGUCAAUGGGGACCUUAUGGGGCCUUUGGGGAACAUGGGGGUUUCUAUGGGGACAAUGGGACAAUGGGGCUAAGGGGGACGUUGGGGUCAAUGGGGGUAAUGGGAACAUUGGGGGCCAUUGGGGUCAGUGGGGGCAAUGGGGGUAAUGGGGGCGUGGGGGACAUUGGGGUCUCUAUAGGGACAGUGAGACAAUGGGGGUAAUGGGGACAUUGGGGGACACUUGGGUCAAUGGGAACAUUAUAGGGACAUGGGGGGCAAUGGGGUCAAUGGGGACAUUAUAGGGACAUGGGGGGCAAUGGGGUCAU